AGGAAAGCUGCACGCGUGUUGGUCGUUGACGCCUGACUGUUAAUAUAAAAACAGUUUUGCUGUGGCUUUAUGUACUUUCGUUUGCUUAAUUAAUUAUUUUUUUAUUAACAGAAUUGUUAUAUACCAUUAAUAUCACAUUUGUAAUUCUACUUCGGACAAAAACAGCCUUUGAUGAACUGCUAUGCUUGCCUUCAUGUGAUGCUAACGUUACCUUUAGGCAUAUAGUACAUUCACUGACACGCGGAGAUCAGACAUAUUUUAUUUAGUAUUAAAUUCUCCAGUUUACUCCUCGUCUGACUUCAGAAAAACAACACCGCCUCGUUAUCACAGCAGGUUAUGUGUGAUAUAAUUUAUGUAUGAUUACUUUUAGCUAUUAUACUGCUAUUGUACUUAUUUUCUUUUUCCUUUUGACUGCAGAUUGUUCUGUUCUAGAUCUGACCACAGCAUCACAAACUUUCACAGCAGAACAACUGGAUUUCGCUUACAUCAAAGAUGUUUUUGUCUGCGUCACGGGUUGGUGUUUCCAUUACCUUACACCCAGAACACCAGAGGAACCACCCUACCUUACGAGCCAGGCCUUUGAUUGAUGUGCCUCAGCCUAUAG
RNAcentral lists this long non-coding RNA (604 nucleotides) under Danio rerio (zebrafish). RNAcentral's name for it is "lncRNA (ENSDARG00000117798.1)". Lineage: Eukaryota; Metazoa; Chordata; Actinopteri; Cypriniformes; Danionidae. The record is from RNAcentral.